AGCUCGUAGUUGGAUUUCUGUUAAUAAUUUAUAUAAAAUAUUUUGAAUAUUUAUAUAACAUUAACAUAAUUCAUAUUACUAUAUUUUUUAGUAUAUGAAAUUUUACUUUGAGAAAAUUAGAGUGCUUAAAGCAGGCAUAUGCCUUGAAUACUCCAGCAUGGAAUAAUAUUAAAGAUUUUUAUCUUUCUUAUUGGUUCUAAGAUAAGAAUAAUGAUUAAUAGGGACAGUUGGGGGCAUUUGUAUUUAACAGUCAGAGGUGAAAUUCUUAGAUUUGUUAAAGACAAACUAAUGCGAAAGCAUUUGCCAAGGAUGUUUUCAUUAAUCAAGAACGAAAGUUAGGGGAUCGAAGACGAUCAGAUACCGUCGUAGUCUUAACCAUAAACUAUGCCAACUAGAGAUUGGAGGUUGUUCCUUACUCCUUCAGCACCUUA
Molecule: ribosomal RNA, 431 nt
Filed under: Cryptosporidium environmental sequence
Lineage: Eukaryota; Apicomplexa; Conoidasida; Eucoccidiorida; Cryptosporidiidae
Description: SSU rRNA
Rfam family: Eukaryotic small subunit ribosomal RNA
Source: RNAcentral